This 226-nucleotide unclassified non-coding RNA is filed under the name plant metagenome. RNAcentral describes it as "partial contains small subunit ribosomal RNA, internal transcribed spacer 1, and 5.8S ribosomal RNA". The record is from RNAcentral.
UUUCCGUUGGUGAACCAGCGGAAGGAUCAUUAACAGAGAUCCUGCCCCUUUGGGGUAGACCUCCCACCCUGUGUUAUGUACUAUUGUUGCUUUGGCAGGCCGCUCUAGAGCGCUCGGCUUCGGCUGAGGUGCGCCUGUCUGAAGAAUUCAACUCUGUAGUUUAGUGAUGUCUGAGUCCUAUUUAAAAUUCAUUUUAAAACUUUCAACAACGGAUCUCUUGGUUCUG